AUCCAGAUGACGAGUCCCAAAUAUGACGAAACGCGCGUGAAACUGGAU
This is a non-coding RNA of Schistosoma rodhaini, 48 nucleotides long. NCBI's taxonomy places the organism in Eukaryota, Metazoa, Platyhelminthes, Trematoda, Strigeidida, Schistosomatidae. The record is from Rfam.